RNAcentral lists this ribosomal RNA (497 nucleotides) under uncultured bacterium. RNAcentral's name for it is "partial 16S ribosomal RNA". It matches the Rfam family "Bacterial small subunit ribosomal RNA", at positions 28 to 507 of the family's 1533-position model. The record is from RNAcentral.
GAUGAACGCUGGCGGCGUGCCUAAUACAUGCAAGUCGAGCGAACGGACGAGAAGCUUGCUUUUCUGAUGUUAGCGGCGGACGGGUGAGUAACACGUGGAUAACCUACCUAUAGGACUGGGAUAACUUCGGGAAACCGGAGCUAAUACCGGAUAAUAUUUUGAACCGCAUGGUUCAUAAGUGAAAGACGGUUUUGCUGUCACUUAUAGAUGGAUCCGCGCUGCAUUAGCUAGUUGGUAAGGUAACGGCUUACCAAGGCAACGAUGCAUAGCCGACCUGAGAGGGUGAUCGGCCACACUGGAACUGAGACACGGUCCAGACUCCUACGGGAGGCAGCAGUAGGGAAUCUUCCGCAAUGGGCGAAAGCCUGACGGAGCAACGCCGCGUGAGUGAUGAAGGUCUUCGGAUCGUAAAACUCUGUUAUUAGGGAAGAACAUAUGUGUAAGUAACUGUGCACAUCUUGACGGUACCUAAUCAGAAAGCCACGGCUAACUACGUG